Molecule: ribosomal RNA, 440 nt
Filed under: uncultured bacterium
Lineage: Bacteria
Description: partial 16S ribosomal RNA
Rfam family: Bacterial small subunit ribosomal RNA
Source: RNAcentral
CCUACGGGGUGCUGCAGUGGGGAAUAUUGCACAAUGGGGGAAACCCUGAUGCAGCGACGCCGCGUGAGUGAAGAAGUAUUUCGUUAUGUAAAGCUCUAUCAGCAGGUACGAAAAUGACGGUACCUGUCUAAGAAGCCUCUGCUAACUACCGGCAAUCAGCCGCGGUAUUACGUAGGGGGCAAGCGUUAUCCGGAUUUACUGGGUGUAAAGGGAGCGUAUACGGCCAGAAAAGUCAGAAGUGAAAGCCCAGGGCUCAACCCUGGGACUGCUUUUGAAACUUCCGGGCUGGAGUGCAGGAGAGGUAAGUGGAAUGCCUAGUGUAGCAGUGAAAUGCGUAGAUAUUAGGAGGAACACGAGAGGCGAAGGCGACUUACUGGACUGUAGCUGACGUGGAGGCUCGAGAGCGUGGGGAGCGAACAGGAGUAGAUACCCGAGUAGUC